This 309-nucleotide long non-coding RNA is filed under the name Erythranthe guttata (spotted monkey flower). Its description in RNAcentral is "long non-coding RNA (EGUT_LNC001502)". The record is from RNAcentral. Lineage: Eukaryota; Viridiplantae; Streptophyta; Magnoliopsida; Lamiales; Phrymaceae.
AAGAAAAUAAUAAUCGUGGUAUCGAAAACACGUUUCAAUCGCGGUAGGCUAUUUUAUUGUUGCUCCGAACAUGGUUUUUCUCAUUGGUGUGAGCCAGUUGAGCAUACUUUCUCAAAUGGUGACCACAAAGAUGUGACGAACAAUGAAGAAAGCGAAGCAACAAGUUCAUUGAAGAAUGGAGUUCAAGUGAAGAAGAUCAACGUUCAAGAGGAUGGAAUAGUUCGUAGUUUGAUAGUCUUAAACCUAGCAAUAUUUGCGGUUUUAAUGCUAUGUAAAACCUUUGUUCUACUGUUUUAUUAAACAAGUUAU